RNAcentral lists this ribosomal RNA (460 nucleotides) under uncultured bacterium. Its description in RNAcentral is "partial 16S ribosomal RNA". It matches the Rfam family "Bacterial small subunit ribosomal RNA", at positions 338 to 795 of the family's 1533-position model. The record is from RNAcentral.
CCUACGGGCGGCAGCAGUGAGGAAUAUUGGUCAAUGGACGAGAGUCUGAACCAGCCAAGUCGCGUGAAGGAUGACUGCCCUAUGGGUUGUAAACUUCUUUUAUAUGGGAAUAAAACGUUCCACGUGUGGGAUUUUGUAUGUCCCAUAGGAAUAAGGAUCGGCUAACUCCGUGCCAGCAGCCGCGGUAAUACGGGGGGACCGAGCGUUAUCCGGAUUUAUUGGGUUUAAAGGGGGCGUAGGUGGGUUUUUAAGUCAGUUGUGAAAGUUUGCGGUUGAACCGUAAAAUUGAAGUUGAAACUGGCAGUCUUGAGUGCAGUAGAGGUAGGCGGAAUGCGUGGUGUAGCGGUGAAAUGCUUAGAUAUCACGAAGAACUCCGAUUGCGAAGGCAGUUCACUGGACUGCAACUGACACUGAGGCUCGAAAGUGUGGGUAUCAAACAGGAUGAGAUACCCCAGUAGUC